GAUGAACGCUAGCUACAGGCUUAACACAUGCAAGUCGAGGGGAAACGAUAGAGAAAGCUUGCUUUUUCUAGGCGUCGACCGGCGCACGGGUGAGUAACGCGUAUCCAACCUGCCCACCAUUUGGGGAUAACCUUGCGAAAGUAAGACUAAUACCCAAUGAUAUCUCAAGAAGACAUCUGAAUGAGGUUAAAGAUUUAUCGGUGAUGGAUGGGGAUGCGUCUGAUUAGCUUGUUGGCGGGGUAACGGCCCACCAAGGCGACGAUCAGUAGGGGUUCUGAGAGGAGGGUCCCCCACAUUGGAACUGAGACACGGUCCAAACUCCUACGGGAGGCAGCAGUGAGGAAUAUUGGUCAAUGGGCGAGAGCCUGAACCAGCCAAGUAGCGUGCAGGAUGACGGCCCUAUGGGUUGUAAACUGCUUUUAUAAGGGAAUAAAGUGAGUCUCGUGAGGCUUUUUGCAUGUACCUUAUGAAUAAGGACCGGCUAAUUCCGUGCCAGCCGCCGCCGUAA
This 508-nucleotide ribosomal RNA is filed under the name uncultured bacterium. RNAcentral describes it as "partial 16S ribosomal RNA". It matches the Rfam family "Bacterial small subunit ribosomal RNA", at positions 28 to 523 of the family's 1533-position model. The record is from RNAcentral.